Molecule: long non-coding RNA, 1914 nt
Organism: Engraulis encrasicolus (European anchovy)
Lineage: Eukaryota; Metazoa; Chordata; Actinopteri; Clupeiformes; Engraulidae
Exons: 6
Source: RefSeq, a predicted model, not a curated record
UCUCUGGAUUGUGGAUUUUACGGACUGCAUUCCCAUGUACUGGGUUUAGCUGGACCGUAUUGGACUGGAGGUGACAGGAUAUUUUGUACCUGCUUCGGACUGGUUCUGUCAUUAACCUACUGAGCUGGUGCUUCUGUCCCAGGUAGGCUACAUGGGCAGUCAUUUUGUGUGUGUAGGCUACAGGUUUGGUUAGGUGUUUCAAGUUCAAAUUCCAUUCUUUCUGUACAUGCAGGUAAAAUGUGUUUGAACUUACAUUUGCAUCUAUACAUGAAGUAGGCAGCCUAGAGCAGGAGGCGGGCGUCAGAUCAGAGGGUUGCAGGCAUCUCCAUCGCAUCGCUCCUAGGCAUCUGAAAGUGUACCGUUGCGCACAGAUCAUGCUGGUAACGAGUUAUUCAAAGGGUCUACCAAUCAUGGCAAAAACAUAAAUCCAGCUCCUCAGCCCAGGCAGUGCCAACAACCCAGCUGAUCCAGGAGCUGCAGCGAGGGGUAGUGAUGACACUCCGGGCACCCCGACUGCCCUCUUCAACCAUUCCCAUGGAAUUCAUCCUGUCCAGCCUCCGUCAGAUAAUCCAGCCCUCCCCCUCCUACUUCCAGAGACUAAUUUGCAGAUUCUAAUGGGUAUGUGCUAAGGAGAUGAUGAGUGAACACGCUGCCAGUUUGGUUGCAGUGUGUCACCGAAUUCCAUAGAUUCAUCAUCACUAUGUGUGGUGGAAGCUGCACAGACUACAAGGCUUCUGGGACCCCACUCCCCUCAAGCAAGACAUUUACCACCUGCUUCACCUAUGAAGGACUGAUUAUUGGCAGUGAUACCACAACGCAUACAAGCUGUUCAGCCUGCUGCCCUCCGGGUAGAGGUACAGGAGUAUCUGCUUCCGCAACUCCAGACUCGCCAACAUCUUCAUCUACCAGACUGUCAUGCCGAAUCGUCCCUCCUCUCUCCCAUCCCAGGAUGCCGAAUUAUGACCAAGUGACUGAAGAACUGCCAUACGUCUUCACUUGGUCAUGGCAUGACCAGAGGCUGUAUGCAGACUCACAGUAUAAUUCUACACGAUCCACUAUAAGUCAUAUUUUAUUUCAGGUGGUUUGAAUAGCUGUGAUACAUUAAUGAUGCCUGCCAACGAUUCUGAAUUGUGUACAGUCUGUAAUAUUUCUUCUUCAAGGGACCAGUCAAGUCGAUGUGACAGGUGAUUUUUAUACAAAACUUUGUCAAAGUUUACGUAAUUGACACAUCUGGUUGGUCCUUGUUUUGAAUUCUGAAUUGUCAAUAUACUAUAUGCCUUUAUCAGGUUUGAGCUUGGAGUUGAGUAUAUGUUAAAUUAAUAGAAUGUGUUUUUUGCUAGUCUUCACAUUAAACUUAGACCGAACUGCCUUUACCUUUGGAUCGUCUGCAGUUCCCUGUUGGCCCACUACCAUCUGCCCCGCAUGGUGCGCGACACCAGACACUGGAGCAGCUGGGUCGCCACUCAUCAACGCAGAGUGAAACAGUGCUUUGACCGCUCCCACAGGGUUAAAAGCCCCACACUUGCUCCACUGGACUGAUUGAGGAUCCGCAGGCCUACCCGGGGCCACAAGCUCAAGUCAUUCUGUUCUGCCCCACCGCAAGUGACUGAGCAGCUGGGUCCCGCCAUUUUCCGCCAUGUUCGCAAGGUGCCGCCGCCUACUGCAACAGACCUGGAGGCGACCGGCCUGUACAAGGGCCCAUCCAGGCCAUCUCAGGGACUAUGUACUCUGACAAUAUGAAUGAUGUUCCUGGGUCUCCCCUGGGGAGGGGGGAAAUGUUAUGUCUGCUCUGUUGCCUGUGCUGAUAUUUCAUAUUUCCUGAUGCUACUUGAAGACGACAUAAUAACAUUUGUGCAGGGCAUGCUGGGAUGCGAGUUCAGUGAAAUAAACGUCUGGUAUGGCUAGACUUUGACA